GACGAACGCUGGCGGCGUGCUUAACACAUGCAAGUCGAACGGAAAGGCCUGCCACCUUGGUGGUGGGUACUCGAGUGGCGAACGGGUGAGUAACACGUGGGUGAUCUGCCCCGCACUGUGGGAUAAGCCUGGGAAACUGGGUCUAAUACCACAUACGACCACACUGUAGACAGUGUGGUGGAAAGCUUUUGCGGUGUGGGAUGAGCCCGCGGCCUAUCAGCUUGUUGGUGGGGUAAUGGCCUACCAAGGCGGCGACGGGUAGCCGGCCUGAGAGGGUGGACGGCCACAUUGGGACUGAGACACGGCCCAGACUCCUACGGGAGGCAGCAGUGGGGAAUAUUGCACAAUGGGCGCAAGCCUGAUGCAGCGACGCCGCGUGGGGGAUGGAAGGCCUUCGGGUUGUAAACUCCUUUCGCCCGGGACGAAGCCCACCUGGUGGGUGACG
Molecule: ribosomal RNA, 445 nt
Filed under: Corynebacterium sp. oral taxon A16
Lineage: Bacteria; Bacillati; Actinomycetota; Actinomycetes; Mycobacteriales; Corynebacteriaceae
Description: bacterial SSU rRNA
Rfam family: Bacterial small subunit ribosomal RNA
Source: RNAcentral